This 741-nucleotide small RNA is filed under the name Pongo abelii (Sumatran orangutan). Its description in RNAcentral is "processed transcript". The record is from RNAcentral. Lineage: Eukaryota; Metazoa; Chordata; Mammalia; Primates; Hominidae.
GGGCAUUGUGGAGAUAAUCAACAGUAGGGAUGUCAAAGUUCAGGUAACUCGAUAUUUUGGCUCCUUCUUUUUGUCCCUGAGGAAUUAAUUGAAAGAGACAUGGUAGACCCACAGAUGUUGCUUUGGUGGGAAUCUGAUUCGACAAAGUCUGUAAGCUGAGCUGCUUUGGACGUGGCAGAAGGGUUGGCUCUUCAAGCCAGUUCUUUUCAGGACCCAUCCCAACCCACCCGAGUAUCCAGUGUCUUGCGCAUCUGUGAGCUUUUAAUGUAAUUGCUGAGUCACGUGAAACAGGAAAGCUUUUCCUGCGACGCACUGUUGUCCUCCCCAGCUGCUGGGACUCAGUUCUCUUUGUUUACUCUGCAGGUAAUGGGUAAAGUGCCAACCAUAUCCAUCAACAAAACAGAUGGCUGCCAUGCUUACCUGAGCAAGAAUUCCCUGGAUUGUGAAAUAGUCAGUGCCAAAUCUUCCGAGAUGAACGUCCUCAUUCCUACAGAAGGCGGUGACUUUAAUGAAUUCCCAGUUCCUGAGCAGUUCAAGACCCUAUGGAAUGGGCAGAAGUUGGUCACCACAGUGACAGAAAUUGCUGGAUAAGCGAAGUGCCACUGGGUUCUUUGCCCUCCCUUCACACCAUGGGAUAAAUCUGUAUCAAGACGAUUCUUUUCUAGAUUUCCUCUACCUUUCUGCUCUUAAAACUGCUUCUCUGCUCUGAGAAGCACAGCUACCUGCCUUCACUGAAAUAUA